GCUGGGAUGACUGAGUGGCUAAAAGUACGGAUCUGUAAAAUCCGCGACCGGAAGGUCUACGAAGGUUCGAAUCCUUCUCCCAGCA
Molecule: transfer RNA, 85 nt
Filed under: Candidatus Curtissbacteria bacterium
Lineage: Bacteria; Candidatus Curtissiibacteriota
Description: tRNA-Tyr
Rfam family: tRNA
About the family: Transfer RNA (tRNA) molecules are approximately 80 nucleotides in length.
Source: RNAcentral